RNAcentral lists this ribosomal RNA (413 nucleotides) under uncultured delta proteobacterium. Its description in RNAcentral is "bacterial SSU rRNA". It matches the Rfam family "Bacterial small subunit ribosomal RNA", at positions 9 to 419 of the family's 1533-position model. Lineage: Bacteria; Deltaproteobacteria. The record is from RNAcentral.
GAGUUUGAUCAUGGCUCAGAGCGAACGUUAGCGGCGCGCCUAACACAUGCAAGUCGCACGGAGUAGCAAUACUCAGUGGCGCACGGGUGCGUAACACGUAGAUAAUCUGCCCUUCAGCGGGGGAUAACGUUCCGAAAGGAGCGCUAAUACCGCAUACAGCGUCGAGUGGUUCGCCAUUUGACGGCAAAGGCUGGGAUCGCAAGACCAGUCACUGAAGGAGGAGUCUGCGGCCCAUCAGCUAGUUGGGGAGGUAAUGGCUCACCAAGGCAAAGACGGGUAGCUGGUCUGAGAGGAUGAUCAGCCACACUGGUACUGGAACACGGACCAGACUCCUACGGGAGGCAGCAGUGGGGAAUCUUGGUCAAUGGGCGCAAGCCUGAACCAGCGACGCCGCGUGAGUGAUGAAGGCCUUC